CCCCUAGAUGUUCUGGGCCGCACGCGCGCUACACUGAACAGUUCAACAAGUCUUAACCUUGGCCGAUAGGUCUGGGUAAUCUUUGAACGCUGUUCGUGAUUGGGAUAGACCUUUGCAAUUAUGGGUCUUCAACGAGGAAUUCCUAGUAAACGCAAGUCAUCAGCUUGCAUUGAUUACGUCCCUGCCCUUUGUACACACCGCCCGUCGCACCUACCGAUUGAGUGAUCCGGUGAAUAAUUCGGACUGCAGCAGUGCUUGGUCCUCCGGGCUUUGCAGCGGAAAGUUUAGUGAACCUUAUCACUUAGAGGAAGGAGAAGUCGUANCA
RNAcentral lists this ribosomal RNA (325 nucleotides) under uncultured eukaryote. RNAcentral's name for it is "partial 18S ribosomal RNA". It matches the Rfam family "Eukaryotic small subunit ribosomal RNA", at positions 1470 to 1796 of the family's 1831-position model. The record is from RNAcentral.